AUGCAUUUUUGUACCACAAUCAACUACAGACAUAAUGCUGUUCAGAAAGGACAAACAGGCUCAGGGACAUCUGCCAAGCUCUGCCAAGAGAGGCGUCAUCAAAAAGUCAGACAAAGGGCUAAAGAUGCAGCGUCAAGAGCCAGGAGACUUUCCCGAGAAGAAGCUGAGAAGCCAUGGGAGCUGCUCUCUAUCAUGAAAAGCCAAAGCUGGGUCCCCAAGCAGGGAAAUGUGCGGCAGCUCCUGUGUUUAGAUCCCAGCUGCCAAAUCUGUGAGGCUGCGACUGAAGAGAUUCAGCAGUUAGUGCAGAGUGAGAAAAGUCAGCUCUCCCCUGCUUUUUUGGGACUGAACCAGGGUUCUGCUCACUCUGCACACCUGGAGACGUUACCCAUGUCUUUUGAACAGAAUAUGGAGCUCUGUUCCAGGCACACCAGACCUCAUCCACGGGUGCCUGGAAACCAAACACUAACACAACUAACGGGACACUUAACACAGUUGACCAACACAUUCGGGGUUCAAGAAUGCUGGACUGAUCGUCUCCAGCUAGACCAAAAUUUUCAUCUCGCCAACAUGCCCAUGGUCUCAGAGACUGUGACUUCUUCAAGGCUCAAGGAACCUAUGGUUUUAAUGAUUGAGGAAACAAUAGUGCAAAGCAAAGCAAAGCUUGACCAGGAAAGCCAAGACCUUCAUCACGUGAAGCCCUCUGUGUCUUUACUACCCCUGGACCCAAGCUUGACACAUACUAUGUCCUUACAUAUGGACUCAAUGCUGUCUUCCCAUCUGCCAUUACUUAGUCCUAAAGUCCGUGGGCUUCUUGAACUACAGGUAAAAAAAUGCAUACAUUUCCAGAAGUGGGGUCUUCCGAGACGUGUGGAGGAGUCCCUGAGGUAGCUCAUGCCAGACCCAACAUUAUUUCGUCGAUCUCGAGAAAAUCCAUCUUCCUGCACUCUGAGCAGCAGUUCUAAGGUCAUUGAGGACAGAACUGGGAUCGUUUCCCACAAGACCAGCAGCUUGUAUUCGGCAGGCCAGCCCGUCCAGACCUUCUGGGUUUCCAAACGGCCUGUUAUAAACCUGCAACAAGGAAGGCCCUGGCACCAAAUUCAUACUUGCUUGCCCUCUCAUGAAGGUGAACAUCUAAGGAAUUUCUAUCCACUCCCCAGGGCAAAAGCUAAUGACUCAGGGGACAAUCUUCAGAGUGAAUAUUAUAGCCACUUAUUCUGUGGCCUUCCAUCUCUUCACAGUGAGUCCUUGGAUGUUACUUACUUGAGUUCUCAAGGUACCUGCAAGAAAAAGGAUAUGUCCAAGCCCUCCACAGAUACUCAGCCCUCAGGGGUACUCUCGGGCCUUUUCUUACCCAAAACACCAUGUAAGUCAGCCUAUCCCUCUUCCCCGACCUCUCUGAAUGGCAAGACUCCCUGUGAGCGUGAAGGAGCACAGAUUACUGUCCCGUUCCUGUCGCUGGCUGAGUGUGAAGCACUGGAACGCCACCUCCUAAAGAAACAACUCAGCAAGCUUCAGUGGGGCCUGCCAACACUCCUCCUCCAAAACCAGCGCCGAAUGCUGUGUGAAGCACCCAGUGAGGCUAAGACAGUAAAAACUUCCUUGGCAAGGAAGCCCUUUUUACAUCCCACCAGGGACAUCUUCCCAGAGCACACAGUUAGGCUGCUGGAAUUCCACCUGCAGAAGCAGCUGAUUCACCUCCGCUGGGGGCUGCCCCAGAGGAUCCAGCGCUCCAUGAAUAUGCUGCUCUCCUCAACAGACCCGCAGUCCCUGCCCUGUGGCAGCAGUAGCUUACCCAAUGUGAGCAUCUCACAGCCCGGGAAACCAGAGGCCAAUGGGCCUGGUGACAUGUUCUCACUCACAGCGGGCAAAGGGACAAUCCCCAUGCCACACUUGUUUGCCAAGACAAGGGAAAUGUUGAAAAGCCAUGUUGAUUCCAAAUGUGAACAGAUCCAGGAGGGCAAGGUCCCGGCCCAAGUCUGGAAAUCUUGGGAAUGCAAAAUUCCUGGAAGCUUAGCAACAGUGGCUCCCUUCCCUUGGAUUCCACAAGGCCAAUGCAGGAAGUUACAGGCAGAAAGUAAAAGUGACCCUGACUUACUUCACAAAGUUGUUCCCUGGAAACCAAAGACCCUCAGCCAGGAGACACAAACCUUAUCUGGUACUCUCUUUGAACACUGUAAGAAGCCCCAAUCCCUGCCUAAGGAAACCAUUAAGAAACUGGAGACAACUUUACAUCAUAAGUAUCUGGCCUUCCUGUCAGGCCUGCCUGCCCUUUACUGUGUAGCUCUCUCUAGGCCUGCAUCCCCAGCAGUCACUAGCCAACCUAGACUCAGAGAGAAGAUGCCCAAAGCUGUCAAAAGCCCAUCAAAUGCUCUGACUCAAAUAACCCCACUUGAGCCCUGCACUCAGGAUGACAGUGGGGUGUCUGCGGACACUGCAGAAGAGUUCCAGCCUGGAGCAGAGGCAGACAGAAGGACAGAGAAGGUGCCUGCAGAGAGUCAGCCUCCCCCAUGCAGACCCUACCCAAUAAACACACAUAUCUUGGCCAAACUGAAUUUCCACCUGAAAAAAAAAGAUCCUAGCAAUGCAGUUUGGGAUUUCUGAAAAGGAAAAGAGAGAAUACAAGGAGCUGGGUACAGCCGACCUAGAGAGCGAAUCCAUCCAGGAAUUUCUCAGAAGUCUACACAUGUCAGAGAGCACACUGCUUCAGGAACAGCCUGUCGCAUGCCCAUCUCUGCCAGCCCCAAAUGCAAAAGGGGUCCACCCUAAAAAACAGCCAGCUUCUGCAGUACAGGAUGUGUGUCAGGCGCAAAGGCCUCCUCCUUCCAAAGCAGUGCCCCAUAGUUCUGCCCAGCAGAGCUCCAAGGCCUCGCAAUCCCAAAGGGAUAAGACCCAAGUCUGUGUUGACAUGGAAGCUGGAGGGAAAAGGUUCAACCUAGAGAAAUCCAAAGUCGUGGGGGACCUUGGAGAAGGGGACGCAGGUCUUGGGUUUUCCCUGGUCAGUCAAAAGACACGCCAGGAUGGAGAGCAGGAGAAGAGGCUCCUGCACAGACCACUCCAGGGCUCCUCACAACAGGGUCACACCUUUCAUCUUGAGGAUGCCUGUCCACACAGUCCCCGGGAGUCCCCUGAGCUCCAGUUCCCAGACCCACCUCCAGAAGUCUUCAUGGAGACAGACUCUGAGCAGGACAUGGAAGACAGUCAAAGCGAGGAAUCCAUUGUCCCAGAUCGUCCUCUGAGAAGUCAGUGAUGGCCUCCUUAUUAACUGCUCCCCAUAUUGUAGACAGUAAGCUCCGGCCUCGCUCCCGGCAGCUUGGCUCUGUCUCAAUAUUAGGCAACUCCCGCCAUUGCCCUCGGCACUGUCCUAGGUUGGCUUAUGCCACUCACCACAGAAACCUACCCUAGCUCCCAGGGUUUACUUCAGAAAUGCUCUUCUGGUAUUGGAGACCGCCCUGCAUGGUGACAGUUUCUAGGCUCCCCAACCUCUGUAUCCCUUUAAGAGCACAGCAUUGUCAUUUUCUUUGAUGAACAGGUAGGGACUGCACUACCCAAAAUGUAUUUUCUAUCUCCGAAUGAGUUGUCUGUCGUCUUUGUCUCUGCUGUACAUUAUUAAGAGAAGGUAUGAAGGAAAUAAAAAUGCCCUCAUCCUGGGAAGGAGACUUGAACUUACUUCAGACAAGUCAGUUUUCCUUACCCCAACCUAGAAUGUGAAUUAAACACUUGACCAGAAAGGAAGUCUCUCGUGUAUUAUACAAUAAAGAUAAAGAUCAGGCUUGAGUUCCUUCACCAAACUCUGCCUGGCUCAUAUUUUGGGGCCAAAGGUAAAGCGAUAAGGGAAAAAUUGUGAUGUUCUCAAUUUAAUUAUGAAAGUCAAGGGCUGGAAUGAAAAAGAAGUAAAAGAAAUUAGUGACGGCAGAGAACCAUCAAAAAAGAUUCUUCACGGUUUGGGACCUUUCCAUCCCUUCACAGUGAGUCCUUGGAUGUUACUUCCUUGAGUUCUCAAGGUACCUGCAAGAAAAAGGAUAUGUCUAAGCCCUCCACAGAUGCUCAGCCCUCAGGGGUACUCUCGGGCCUUUUCUUACCCAAAACACCAUGUAAGUCAGCCUUUCCCUCUUCCCCGACCUCUCUGAAUGGCAAGACUCCCUGUGAGCGUGAAGGAGCACAGAUUACUGUCCCGUUCCUGUCGCUGGCUGAGUGUGAAGCACUGGAACGCCACCUCCUAAAGAAACAACUCAGCAAGCUUCAGUGGGGCCUGCCAGCUCUCCUCCUCCAAAACCAGCGCCGAAUGCUGUGUGAAGCACCCAGUGAGGCUAAGACAGUAAAAACUUCCUUGGCAAGGAAGCCCUUUUUACAUCCCACCAGGGACAUCUUCCCAGAGCACGCAGGAAGGCUGCUGGAAUUCCACCUGCAGAAGCAUCUGAUUCACCUCCGCUGGGGGCUGCCCCAGAGGAUCCAGCGCUCCAUGAAUAUGCUGCUCUCCUCAACAGACCCGCAGUCCCUGCCCUGUGGCAGCAGUAGCUUACCCAAUGUGAGCAUCUCACAGCCCGGGAAACCAGAGGCCAAUGGGCCUGGUGACAUGUUCUCACUCACAGCGGGCAAAAGGGACAAUCCCCAUGCCACACUUGUUUGCCAAGACAAGGGAAAUGUUGAAAAGCCAUGUUGAUUCCAAAUGUGAACAGAUCCGGGAGGGCAAGGUCCCGGCCCAAGUCUGGAAAUCUUGGGAAUGCAAAAUUCCUGGAAGCUUAGCAACAGUGGCUCCCUUCCCUUGGAUUCCACAAGGCCAAUGCAGGAAGUUACAGGCAGAAAGUAAAAGUGACCCUGACUUACUUCACAAAGUUGUUCCCUGGAAACCAAAGACCCUCAGCCAGGAGACACAAACCUUAUCUGGUACUCUCUUUGAACACUGUAAGAAGCCCCAAUCCCUGCCUAAGGAAACCAUUAAGAAACUGGAGACAACUUUACAUCAUAAGUAUCUGGCCUUCCUGUCAGGCCUGCCUGCCCUUUACUGUGUAGCUCUCUCUAGGCCUGCAUCCCCAGCAGUCACUAGCCAACCUAGACUCAGAGAGAAGAUGCCCAAAGCUGUCAAAAGCCCAUCAAAUGCUCUGACUCAAAUAACCCCACUUGAGCCCUGCGCUCAGGAUGACAGUGGGGUGUCUGCGGACACUGCAGAAGAGUUCCAGCCUGGAGCAGAGGCGGACAGAAGGACAGAGAAGGUGCCUGCAGAGAGUCAGCCUCCCCCAUGCAGACCCUACCCAAUAAACACACAUAUCUUGGCCAAACUGAAUUUCCACCUGAAAAAAAAGAUCCUAGCAAUGCAGUUUGGGAUUUCUGAAAAGGAAAAGAGAGAAUACAAGGAGCUGGGUACAGCCGACCUAGAGAGCGAAUCCAUCCAGGAAUUUCUCAGAAGUCUACACAUGUCAGAGAGCACACUGCUUCAGGAACAGCCUGUCGCAUGCCCAUCUCUGCCAGCCCCAAAUGCAAAAGGGGUCCACCCUAAAAAACAGCCAGCUUCUGCAGUACAGGAUGUGUGUCAGGCGCAAAGGCCUCCUCCUUCCAAAGCAGUGCCCCAUAGUUCUGCCCAGCAGAGCUCCAAGGCCUCGCAAUCCCAAAGGGAUAAGACCCAAGUCUGUGUUGACAUGGAAGCUGGAGGGAAAAGGUUCAACCUAGAGAAAUCCAAAGUCGUGGGGGACCUUGGAGAAGGGGACGCAGGUCUUGGGUUUUCCCUGGUCAGUCAAAAGACACGCCAGGAUGGAGAGCAGGAGAAGAGGCUCCUGCACAGACCACUCCAGGGCUCCUCACAACAGGGUCACACCUUUCAUCUUGAGGAUGCCUGUCCACACAGUCCCCGGGUCUCACUAUGUAGCCCUAGCUGACUCAGAACUAACUCUGUAGGCAGGUCAACCUCUAACUCUAAGAGAUCUACCUGUCUCUACCUCCAGAGAACUGGAAUUAAUGGCAUACCACCAUGCUGACCCUUCUCCCUCCUUUAAAUCUGGUUUGUAACUUCUAUCCUAUUGCCUGUCGUUAAUGGGAUAGCCUUGGAUUCAUGUGUAUAUCCUGAUCUCAACAACUUGGUCAGGUCUUAAAUAUCCACAAAAGGAGGGUCUUGCCCAGUGGCAGAGCACUAGCCUCACAUAUGAAGGCUUUUGAUUUGCUCUUGAGUUCUAUAGGGAAAAAUUCAGAACACCAGUGACCCCAAUACUUGAGAAUGUUCAGAAGUUAAUUAUGGCAAAGAUAGGUGCAUGCCAGAAACUGUUCUCAGGGACAGACUCUCUUUUAAGAUCUACCAAAGUCAGGUGUGAGUUCACGACCCUCUUUAGAACCCCACCUACCACACAUCACAUGAAAAGCCUCAGUUUACCCAGGGUCCCAUGCCUGCAGACUACUGACCCCCUACAGUCUGACAUAGCAGGUAAAAGGGAACAACAAACUAGGCAGACAUGCCUGAUCCAAGUCACCCUUAGGGAACCAUCAAAGUCCCAGGUGCCCCAGAAGGGGGCCCUGGCACAGGCAUGGUUCCUUUUAUAGCUCUAUGGCAAGCUUAAAUGUUAGCUGCAAGCCCAGCCUUACAGCCAUACUCCUAAUCAAACUCCAGCCUCAUUCCCAGAAAGAGAAGGGUGGUGUGGUAAAUGCCAACAAGGUGCUUGAAUGGCCAAAUGAGCACAGAAGGCUUUGGUGUUCCUUCUCCCUUGGACCUGGAUGGCCACCUGCCCUGCUUGGAUAGCUCUGGAGAGACUUACAGCCUCACACAGGGAACCUAGAAAGCAGCCCAGCAGACUCUCCCCAUAUCAGAGCAGAAUUGCACAUAACCAUAUAUCCCUCCCUGAAUUGUCUUAGAAGUUCAGAACCAACCUCCAACAUACAAUGUAAACUCCUUGGCUGAUCCUAACCUCAAACCCAAAUUCAGUGCCCGACUCCAUUCUGUCUUCAAAAGACCAAUCCAACAUAUGCCAGCCUUUAACAGCAAGAAUCACAACCCAGUUCAAAACCCCACACUAACAUCAGCAGGAUCCUUCCCUGUGCUGGCCAUAACCCUAUUCUAAUCUGCUCCCCCAAACCCGUUUUUUGUUUGUUUACUUGUUUGUUUUGUUUUGUUUUAUUCUGUUUUUUUUUUUUUUUUUUUUUUGGCAUGGAAAACUUUAUGUGCCAAGAUUGUUAGCCACACUAAGAGCAGCAGAGAGGAUGACUCCUCUUCCUCUCAUCUGUCACCUUCACUGCAUAGGUAAUGAGUUCACUGGAGAGAGCAAAGUAGCUGCAGGUCUCUUGGGAGAAAAACAAGACUUUCAAUAGCCUUUUGGAAGAGAAUGAUAAUUACAGUAAGAUGUAGCUAAGUGUCCUGGCUAAUUUACUGUCAACUGAACACAAGCUAGAGUCAUUUGGGAAGAACCCUCAAUUGGGAAAAUGCCUCCAUGUUAGUAAACAGCACUCCUCCAUGGCCUCUGCAUCAGCUCCCGCUUCCAGGUCCCUUGAGUUCUUGACCCAACUUUCCAGGACGAUGGACUACAAGCUACAGGAUGAAAUAAGCCCUUUCUUUCCCGAGGUUUCUCUUGGUUGUGUGGUUUUACCAUAGCAACAGAGACCCUGUCUAAGAUGCUAGGUAAAAAUGCUAAUUAGAAUAAGGUUGUGGGGAGAGGGGGCAGGGCAACAUGUGAAACUAAUUGAGUACUACAAGAUGUUGAGAAAAGAGGACAGAAAGAAAUAUCCCAUGCUGAACCAGAACUGGUUAUGUGUGCUUUGACUCAUUUUGGCAGAAUACAUGGUGAGAUACAGUUUCUAUCAUGAGAUGGGUCCUACUAUGAGACAGGACCACAAAAUAAAGAGGGAAAAGAAGGAAGGGGCUGGGCGGGGAGACAAGAGGAGCACAUGGAUAUUAAAGGGUGACCAUUUGGGACUGGACAGCCAUUUCCUAUGAACUUCCCUGGGGAGGCCCUCCUCUCCCAGCUUCCCUCAGCUGCCUCUGGGUAGGGCUGGUGCCUUGUGGACUUUUCUAUCCACUUUGGCGUGUCCAUUGGUGAGCAGGUUCUAUUUAGGAAUGUAUAUGUACACACAUGUAUGUGCCUGCAGGAGCCAAAAAAGGAGGCCACGAAACUGAAGAAGAACAAGGAAGGGUUAUGGGAGGGUUUGGAGGGAGGAAGGGAGAAAUGUAGUUGUAUAUUAAAUAUAUUGCAUUAUAUUAUAUUACACUCUCAAGACUGUAUAAAAAUAAAAAGGGUGGUUGACUUAUGAAGGCUCGGUCCGAGUCAAUUUAUUAACCCACUCAUGAAUUAACAUGUCAGUGGAUUAAUAAGUUGUUGCUUGCAUGUUUUGUUAUAGCCACGCUCCUUGUGCUCAGCUUGCUCUGUGUUACCAUGGCCAUCACAGAUGUCAGGCAGAUGCUGCCACCAGGCUCCAGAACCUUGAGGAAAUAGAUGAUUUCUUUAUAAGUUUUCCUCAUCAAUUAUGUCAUCUGUGGCAUUCUUAUGGCAACAGAAAAUGGACUAUUCUAUGAUUAUAGGAAAUUAUAGGUCACAACAAAUGAUAAAGCUUCUGGAAUAUAACAGAGAAUGUCUUCAUUAUGACUUAAGAAAAGCUGUGCCGCAGAUCUAGCCCAGGGACCCCGCAUACCAGGCAAACAUUCUCCCAUGGAGUUGCAUCUCCAACCCUUUCAUUAGGAAUUUCUCGAUGGUAAACAAAAUUCCUUUAAAAAUUACAGAGCACUAAUCCUAAAAUGAGAUUGAUACAUUGGUGCAUUUUAAACAUCAGGGUUUCCUUUUAAAGAGUGGUGUGGUGGUUUGAAAAAGAGUGACAGCCCCUACCCCCCCCCACACACACACACACAGAUUCACACAUUCGGAAGCUUAGCCAUCAGGGAGAGUAGUUUCCAAAGGAAUGACCUCAACAAACAAAGGAAGCCUGAAGGUUUUAUCUGGGGGCCUACCCACAGUCACAUAAGAAAACACAUUAGGAACAAGCAUAGUCUAUGGAUGCUCACGUUCCUGAAUAGUUACAGUUUAGCAUCAUUGUCUUUGUUAAGGUUUCUACUGCUGUGGUAAAGACCCGACCAAAGCAACUUAGGGAGGAAAAGGCUUUAUUCAGCUUACACUUCCAGUUAAUAGUCCAUCACUGAGGGAAGUCAGGCCAAGAACUCCAGCUGGACAGGGACCUAAUACAGCAGGAACUGGUCAGAGGCCAUGAAGAGGUGCUGAUAACUGCCUUGCUCUCCAUGACUUGCACAACCUGCUUUCUCAUACCACCCAGGACCACCUGCCCAGGAGUAGCACCAUCUACAAUGGGCUGGUCCCUCCUGCAUCAAUAACUAAGCAAUACAAAGCCAAGCAGCUGAAACAGUUCUGAAAUUGAUCCAUCCUCGAACCAAACACCUUUAUUUACAGAGGAAAUCAAUAUGAGCAGGUUAUUAAGCGCUUUGAAUAGGCACUUCAGUGCACUAUGUUCUUCGGGAAGGAUCAUCUAUAGUGUGCCUGCCUCCAUAACAAAAAUAGAAAAGAUAAUGUGGUUUUGAUUUUCUUGUGAAUUUGUGGGUUUUUCAAGACAGGAUUCCUCUGUGUAAACUUGGGUGUCCUUGGAAAUUGCUGUGUCAACCUGGCUAGCCUCAAACACAGAUCUGACUGCCUUUGCCUCUCUAGUACUGGGAUUAAAGGUAUAUGUCACCACUGCCCAGCCUAUUCUAAUUUUUUAAUGGAAUUUUUCUAAGUAAGUAAGAAAUUAUAUUUUAAGGAUCUCUUAUCAAUUCAGUCCUAGUUUCUGCCUCUGUAAAAUUACACAUAUUAUCUACAGUUAAUAAAUUAACCAACCUGUAACAGUA
Molecule: RNA transcript, 9799 nt
Organism: Mus musculus (house mouse)
Lineage: Eukaryota; Metazoa; Chordata; Mammalia; Rodentia; Muridae
Gene name: predicted gene 3883
Exons: 6
Source: RefSeq, a predicted model, not a curated record